AUUGGCGACGACUACCCAGCGAGCUCAAGAUUCGAGUGCGGAAAGUCCAGAAGGAGCGUGAGUGAAUCUGCAGCAGGAGGAGGAGGUUUCGUCAGCCGGUGCCAUAAUGACCACACGAGGGCAGCAGAGGGCCGCGUUUGCUGCAGGAGGGUGGCGUAGGCUCAGCUAGACUGGAGGGAGAGAUAGAUGGCUCAGCUGAUAGACACCUGCCACCAAUCCCUAGGACCCACGUGAUGGAGUUGGAAGGACGGACUCAUUCUAACGUCUGCCUGGGUGUUACACACACACACACACACACACACACACACACACACACACACACACACACACACACACAAUUUAAAAGCCAGAAAGAAACCUAGUUAUGAUAUGUGCUUCCUAAGGACUCACUUUUUGAUCCUCCAAACAGGGACCACCAUUAUCCUUCCCAAGAGGCCCCCUAAGAGCACAGAGGAUAAGGAGGAGACGAUCCAGAAACUAGAGACUCUAGAGAAGAAGGAGGAGGAAGUGACUUCAGAGGAAGAUGAAGAGAAAGAAGAGGAA
RNAcentral lists this long non-coding RNA (543 nucleotides) under Rattus norvegicus (Norway rat). RNAcentral's name for it is "long non-coding RNA NONRATT016683". Lineage: Eukaryota; Metazoa; Chordata; Mammalia; Rodentia; Muridae. The record is from RNAcentral.